CACGUAGGCGGCUUUCUAAGUCAGGGGUGAAAUCCUGGAGCUCAACUCCAGAACUGCCUUUGAUACUGGAAAGCUUGAGUUCGGGAGAGGUGAGUGGAACUGCGAGUGUAGAGGUGAAAUUCGUAGAUAUUCGCAAGAACACCAGUGGCGAAGGCGGCUCACUGGCCCGAUACUGACGCUGAGGUGCGAAAGCGUGGGGAGCAACA
RNAcentral lists this ribosomal RNA (206 nucleotides) under uncultured bacterium. Its description in RNAcentral is "partial 16S ribosomal RNA". It matches the Rfam family "Bacterial small subunit ribosomal RNA", at positions 568 to 773 of the family's 1533-position model. The record is from RNAcentral.